RNAcentral lists this ribosomal RNA (751 nucleotides) under uncultured Hyphomicrobiales bacterium. RNAcentral's name for it is "bacterial SSU rRNA". It matches the Rfam family "Bacterial small subunit ribosomal RNA", at positions 8 to 796 of the family's 1533-position model. Lineage: Bacteria; Pseudomonadati; Pseudomonadota; Alphaproteobacteria; Hyphomicrobiales. The record is from RNAcentral.
AGAGUUUGAUCCUGGCUCAGGACGAACGCUGGCGGCGUGCUUAACACAUGCAAGUCGAGCGGUAAGGCCCUUCGGGGUACACGAGCGGCGAACGGGUGAGUAACACGUGAGCAAUCUGCCCAUCACAUCGGGAUAACCCAGGGAAACUUGGGCUAAUACCGGAUACGUGCGAGAGCAGAAAGAUUUAUCGCUGAAGGAUCGGCCCGCGUCUGAUUAGCUAGUUGGUAGGGUAAUGGCCUACCAAGGCGACGAUCAGUAGCUGGUCUGAGAGGAUGAUCAGCCACAUUGGGACUGAGACACGGCCCAAACUCCUACGGGAGGCAGCAGUGGGGAAUAUUGGACAAUGGGCGCAAGCCUGAUCCAGCCAUGCCGCGUGAGUGAUGAAGGCCUUAGGGUUGUAAAGCUCUUUCGGCGGGGACGAUAAUGACGGUACCCGCAGAAGAAGCCCCGGCUAACUUCGUGCCAGCAGCCGCGGUAAUACGAAGGGGGCUAGCGUUGUUCGGAAUCACUGGGCGUAAAGGGCGCGUAGGCGGCUUGAUCAGUCGGGGGUGAAAGCCUGUGGCUCAACCACAGAAUUGCCUUCGAUACUGUCUGGCUUGAGACCGGAAGAGGUAAGUGGAACUGCGAGUGUAGAGGUGAAAUUCGUAGAUAUUCGCAAGAACACCAGUGGCGAAGGCGGCUUACUGGUCCGGUUCUGACGCUGAGGCGCGAAAGCGUGGGGAGCAAACAGGAUUAGAUACCCCCGUAGUCC